Erigeron canadensis is the source of this 1543-nucleotide long non-coding RNA. RefSeq lists it as uncharacterized. NCBI's taxonomy places the organism in Eukaryota, Viridiplantae, Streptophyta, Magnoliopsida, Asterales, Asteraceae. The transcript is spliced from 4 exons. The record is from RefSeq and is a predicted model, not a curated record.
ACCUUAAGAGCCGAAAUAAUUGAUAAAUUAGGUUAUACAGCUUCAUACAAGAAGGUGUGGGUAGGAAAGCAGAAGGCAAUUGAACAAGUUUUUUGAAAUUGGGAUGAAUCAUAUAAUUCUCUACCUAAAUUUCUAGCUUCACUUUAAGCAUUCAACCCCGGGACGAUAGUUGAAUGGUGUAUUUCUAGGCCUGAUAAUGAGGAGCACGUAGAAUUCAAACGUGUUUUUUGGGCUUUUUCUCCUUCUAUAAUAGGAUUUGAACAUUGUCGACCCGUCAUUAGUUAAAACACAUGUGGUGAAAGAACGAGAAGGCAUUUUUUUGAUAUCUGAUCAACAUGUUGGAAUCCUAAAGGUAGUUACUGAGCAAGGAUCUCCUUGGUUAGAACCACGUGGCUUUCAUAGCUGGUAUUGCUUACGUCAUUUCAUCCAAAACUUUCAUGAUAAGUUUCGUAACUCACAACUGAAAGCUUUAGCUUACCGUGCCGGGAGUCAGAAUCAAGUUCGCAAGUUUAACUCCACAAUGAUAGAAACUGGAAAUCUAAAUCCAGCAGCUCGUCAAUGGCUUGAGAGACAUUCAUUUGACAGAUGGACACUUUCACAUGAUGGAGCAAAGUGAUACGGCUUGCUUACUACAAAUUUAUCAGAAAUUUUUAACAGCGUCCUUAAAGGUGCUCGUUUUUUACCGAUCACAGGUUGUGUUCAACUUACAUUUUAUAAACUGGUACAAUUUUUUAAUGUGAGGCGUCCUUUGGGAUCUAAUGCUCAAGAAAAUGGAGAUCCAUAUACUCCCCACGUUGUUGCAAAACAAGUAGCCUUAAUGUCCAAAGCGGGUGCACAUACCUUGAGAUCUUUCAACCGAGAGAAAGGAAUAUUUGAAUUGAUUACUCAAAAAGGAAGAAAUGUGCAGGUGGUUAAUUUGGAAGAAAAAACUUGCACGUGUGUUGGCAAUAUAUUGAUAGAUAUUAUUCCAUUACGGAGUAUUGUUCUACUUGGGAGUCUCAAUUUUAACCAUUACCUCACGAAGAUUAUUGGCCACGCUUAUCAUCUGAUGUAAAGAUGGUUCCAAAUUCAGAUCUAAAGGAGAACAAAAAGGGUCGUCCUCGUUCAACAAGGCUACGAAAUGGAAUGGACAUUAAAGAAGGGAAAAAGGCUAACCUCUGUGGUAUUUGCAAGAAAAGUGGUCAUAAUCAAAAAACAUGUCCUUCUAGACCUAAGAGAAUGGAUACUGAUCCCUAAAAAGUUUGUUACCAAGGAGUGUGCACCGUGAUUCACGUGUAGAUACUUUUGGCGGCUUGGGCUCUGGAUUUGAUAUUUUUGGCGGCUUGGAUGCUUGGAUUCAAUGCUCUAGCUUAUCUUUUGGUACCUUCAAAAAAUGGAACUCGAGAUGGAUGUCAUGUGCUUGAUCUUAGUAACAUGUUUCAUCUAUUUUAAUUUUUUGUAAAUGUUCUAUUUACUUGAUUUUUGUUCAUGUUUACACACAUGGUAUUCCUUAGUGAUGAUAACUUUAUGUUAGUAAUUUGAAUGAAAUUAUGGAAUUUUUAUA